AUUGAACGCUGGCGGUAGGCCUAACCCAUGCAAGUCGAGCGAGCGGCGGACGGGUGAGUAAUGUCUGGGAAACUGCCUGAUGGCGGGGGAUAACUACUGGAAACGGUAGCUAAUACCGCAUCCCAUCGGAUGUGCCACGAUGGGAUUGGCUUGUAGGUGAGGUAACGGCUCACCUAGGCGACGAUCCCUAGCUUGUUUGAGCGGGUGACCAGCCACACGGGGCCGGAGACACGGUCCAGACGCCUACGGGAGGCAGCAGUGGGGAAUAUUGCACACUAGGCGCAAGCCUGAUGCAGCCAUACCGCGUGUAUUAAGAAGGCCUUCGGGUUGUAAAGUACGUUCAGCUGGGAGGCGUUACCCGCAGAAGAAGCACCGGCUAACUCCGUGCCAGCAGCCGCGGUAAUUC
This 406-nucleotide ribosomal RNA is filed under the name uncultured bacterium. RNAcentral's name for it is "partial 16S ribosomal RNA". It matches the Rfam family "Bacterial small subunit ribosomal RNA", at positions 30 to 526 of the family's 1533-position model. The record is from RNAcentral.